UACAGAGGGUGCGAGCGUUAAUCGGAAUUACUGGGCGUAAAGCGCACGUAGGUGGCGCCGUAAGUCGGGUGUGAAAGCCCCGGGCUCAACCUGGGAAUUGCAUUCGAGACUGCAUUGCUGGAGUACGGAAGAGGAGGGCGGAAUUCCCGGUGUAGCGGUGAAAUGCGUAGAUAUCGGGAGGAACAUCAGUGGCGAAGGCGACUACCUGGAGAGUUCCUGACACUGAGGCACGAAGGCCAGGGGAGCAAACGGG
RNAcentral lists this ribosomal RNA (253 nucleotides) under uncultured bacterium. Its description in RNAcentral is "partial 16S ribosomal RNA". It matches the Rfam family "Bacterial small subunit ribosomal RNA", at positions 524 to 776 of the family's 1533-position model. The record is from RNAcentral.